AAAACGACUCUCGGCAACGGAUAUCUCGGCUCUCGCAUCGAUGAAGAACGUAGCGGGAUGUGAUACUUGGUGUGAAUUUCAGAAUCCCGUGAACCAUCGAGUCUUUGAACGCAAGUUGCGCCCCAAGCCGUCAGGCCAAGGGCACGUCUGCCUGGGUGUCACGC
This 164-nucleotide ribosomal RNA is filed under the name Haplophyllum suaveolens. Its description in RNAcentral is "5.8S ribosomal RNA". It matches the Rfam family "5.8S ribosomal RNA". From Rfam's summary of the family: 5.8S ribosomal RNA (5.8S rRNA) is a component of the large subunit of the eukaryotic ribosome. The record is from RNAcentral. Lineage: Eukaryota; Viridiplantae; Streptophyta; Magnoliopsida; Sapindales; Rutaceae.